RNAcentral lists this unclassified non-coding RNA (845 nucleotides) under Hevea brasiliensis (rubber tree). Lineage: Eukaryota; Viridiplantae; Streptophyta; Magnoliopsida; Malpighiales; Euphorbiaceae. The record is from RNAcentral.
CUUUAGUCAAAUCUGGUUGGGAGUAUCUAAACCAUAGAUCUUGAGAUAUGGAUAAAUUACAGUGGGGAAAUAGAAAAAGACUUAGGUGUUUUAAGGUGAAAGAUUCAACUUCAAAUGGGAAAUCUGAUGGAGGAAGAAGUCUUGUGGUGAAGAAGAAAAUUACAUCUAGAGUUGUUGAUAAUAACAAGGAGUCUGGUCAUCUUACUCUUCCUAUGUCUUCACCUCAUAGGCUUAACAGGGAUUUGGGUGUCAAUAGAUCUAACGCAAAUGAUCAUCGUAAGACAUCAGUAUCAUCUCCCGAGAAGGAGGACCGAUAUUAUACGACGAGAGGGUCGGUAGGCGUGGAUGAUAGUAGCAAGCUGUUGAUGGAACCAAGAGAGGAAAAGAAAAAGAUGGUUUGGCCUAAAUUGCUCAUCACAUUGUCAAGUAAAGAAAAAGAAGAGGAUUUUAUGGCCAUGAAAGGUUGCAAACUUCCUCAAAGGCCUAAGAAAAGGGCUAAAUUGACACAAAGAACCAUUCUUUUGGUGCAACCAGGUACAUGGUUGCAAGAUUUGUGUCAAGAAAGGUAUGAAGUGAGAGAGAAGAAGACCUCUAAGAAGAAACCGCGAGGAUUGAAAGCUAUGGGAAGCAUGGAAAGUGAUUCAGAAUGAAAUGUGAUGAAGAUAAAGAGUGAGUUAAGGAAACAAGACAGAGUCAGUGUAAAGCCAAGAUUGAUUUUUGGGAAUUAUUUUGGGAUAAUUGAAGAUGAUGGAAAGAAAUAUUUGGAUCUUUUGUACUUUAUUUUUUGGGGGGAAAGAGAAGGAAAGAAAAGUUGUGUAUUUUGACAUUAUUUUUCUUAAUUUUAG